AAGUCAUUUCUUUUUUCACUCUUAUUGUAUUGAUUGAUUGACUAGCUUUUGUGCUCCCUGAAGUGCAGAACCACAUUUAAGAAUUGAAAGAAAGAUUUGCAUGCUGAAAGGUUGGUGAUCUGGUGUUGGUCACUUGGAAUCAAAUGAAAAUUCUAGCCGCUGGCAUAGUAGUGACACAGUGGUGCUAGAGUUCAACCAUUACACACCUGGCUUAAGAUGGAGACAGAAUAGUAUCAGUGGGUAAGAUCAUAGGGCGGAAGAAAUUGAGGCUGAUGAAUUUUUAUGGGGGAAUAAGAUCACACUUUCUUAGCUAGCAAGGCUUCAACUCUGGCCAUUUUGGCAGCUACUGCUCCGUUUUUUGGUAAGCCAUGUUUUUUGAAUUGGAAUCAUGUUUAUUGUUCUUUCUUUGAGGUGUGUGAACUGGUUUUUUUUUUUUUUUUGGUCAAGUAUAGCCUACUUUGAAAAACGUUAAAACUUAGGGGAAAUAAGUUUUGGCUGAAAGAGACAACGGCUAGUCCUUUGUUGGCUACAUCUUGUUAGUUAAUUUUUUUGUAGGGAUGUAACCCUUAGAUCUAUUUGAACGUCAACUCAGCUAAUCUACUUGCACCUCAACUCAGCUAUGCCAUGUAUUUAAUGUGUUUUAAGGGAUAGAGCUGACAGUGGUCGAAUUCUGAAUAGCCUAACCAUACUUAUUUGCCUUGUCCUAUACUUAUUAAACUAUUUUAUACUUUUCAGUUCAAACUAAAUAAAUUUUCCUGUAUCUGAAUUAAGUGUUUGGGUAAUGUAUACUACAAGCAUUUUUCAUUUUCAUUUAGUUCGGUGGCUGUUCUGAGUCUGCACUUCGUAGUCAACUAUUUUUCUUUUCUUGUCUUUGGCGCUGUAACUUUUAGGCUCGAGUGUUUAGGAAUUGAAUAAGUGUUAGACUUUGAAUUGAAAUUAGUAGCUUGAAGAUAUACUCCUUGGACUCUCUCCUCAGGUAUGUAUACUCCUUGAAAUUCUCACUUAUGCGGUUUGUAUACAAAAAGAUAAGUUAGCACUAUUUUAAACAUGAGUUAGUAGCUAGGCAAUACUAAAUUUUCAACUUUAAGUCAAAUGUAUGUAUAUGCUGUCAGACAACCCUUGAAUACAACCAAUUUUUAGAGUAAAACUAAAAGCAAAACUUAAAAUCGAGGUUAAAAGCGAACUCUGUUGUUAGUUGCGAACAGAUUCAUAUUGCAUAGUUGCGAACUCUGUUGUUAAAAGCGGCCGCUAUUGUGGCGUGGCGUGGAAAAAUCGAGGUCACUGCUACUAGCCGUGUCGGAGCGGCGCAGACGAGUGAUGCGGUGGGAGCUGUUGGGGUUGCAGGCGCUAUUGCAGAUCGGUUCGGUGUUGAUUUCUUUUCAUUGCUUUCUAUAAUUUUUGGGAUUGGGGCAGGCGAUUUUUGAGACUAUAUCAACAAUUCACAUCUUGGGACAUCCUGAACGGCCUCUAGCGAUAAGAUAUGUAUCUCUUAAUUAUUUUACACACUCUGUCAUAUUUCAUAGAAUCUCCCCUUAUCUAUCACGACUACGCCAAAUAUAAAGUGAUUAAACAUUCAAUGUUUGCCAAGAUGCAAAAAGCAUUCGGUUUAGAGAAAGUCCUAAAGAAGGGGGGUGGGAUCUGGAAAAAUAUUUAUGGGACUGAUGAAAAGAAGGUCGCCGAUGAUAUUUUGGUAGAACGUACUAGUUAUACUGCAAACAGUACGGUGGGAAUGAUGGCAUGUCGACUUGCUCUAGGAAAUUCAACGUCUUUUUCCCAGAAAGUUGUGCUCAAGAUGGCUUUGACCUUAUACUGUUAGUCAAGUCUUUCUUGAUGGAGCACUUGAAGCUUCUAAAGAAGGUGGCACCACUUUCAUAGUUAAGGGACAACAUGCAAAACAUUACGAGGAAGGGUUGCUCCAAGUGAGAUAUGUCGUUCGCCUCAGUGAUUGAAAGCUUUCUCAGGGAAGUCACUUUUACUCUCACUUAUUUACUUUUGUGCCUGGUUGAAUAUUUUACAUUGAAGACCAUGCUCUGAACUAGUGUGGGGUAUGUCGUUCGCCUCAGUGAUUGAAUUUUCUGGCUUGUUUUAAUUAAGUUUUUCUUAAAAAUAGAGAUUAUGUCUUCGAAGGGACCCUUGAAAAUUUAUUUGACAGACUUGUUCAAUGUUGAUAAUGUGCUAUGUUGACUAUCUUUUUGUGAACUAACUUCUAAAUGUGAGAUUUGAGCCUUUAUAAUGGGAUUACAUUCUAGAACUUGUCUUGUGACCAUGUCAAAGAGAAAAUUGAUUUGCAUCAUGUGAAAAAAUUGUUGGGGCAUUUGUAGGUAUUUCUUUUAUUGUUUUGAAAUCAUCCUUAGUUGCCCACUUUGAGCCUAUUUAAAAGAAUGAAAAGGCUGGAUUGACACUUGCCGAUCUUGCUUACCAACGUGCUAAAGCAGUUAAGGCCACCAAGAGGGCACUAGACUCUAGUAAGAUUGUGAAGAAGCCUCAAAAGAAAUCUAAUAAAUCUAAUCCUUUGCGAAAGCCUUACUCUUCCUGGCUAGAGGAAAUGCGGGAGCUAUUCCAGACUGACGUGAAAGAUAAAAAGCCGAAACAGAGAGGUUCUGGAACAUGAAAGAAGGCGAAGAAGUCAUUCAAAAGCAAGCUGUGACCAGAGCUCACAUGCUGAUGGGUUGCAGUUCCCAGGAAUUAAUAACGGCAUUAUAUAGCCAUAAAGUUUGACAUUAUUGCAGUUUUGUUUAUUACUCAAACAUGUCCGUUCAAUUUUUUGUGGCUCUAAAUGCUCUAUAUUCACCAUUCCAGGUAUUCAAUAUAUGCUAUUAUGCUUCAAAGUGAUGGUACUACUGGAGUUGUUGUGUGGCUGGAUCUCUUACAUCUUGGAGGUUUUGUAUGACAAACUACUCACAAUGAUGACUGAAAAUCUACAUAUUGCAAAGACUUUUGUAGUGGCUUUAACCAUAUGUUGCUUUAUUUGAUGUGGCAGCUUGACAAUAAAUAUAUCGUUGCUUUCUGGAACACAACACAUUGAACAAUUCUUCAGUCAAUUUGUUACAACACAUGGCUCUACAAAGAAUUUGCCUAGAUCAUGUACUUCAAGGCUCAGUCCAAGGCUGUGAUUUUUCCCUCAAUAUGUUGUAUCACAAAUCACCACACCAAUCUUCUUUGUAAAUGCGACAUAUGACUCAUGGCAGUGGUUGACGUAGAGAGCUGCAACUGGAAUUAAACGCAUUAAUUUUGACAGUCUCUAGUGGCAAGCUUUUGAUACAAAGGUCUAGGGUGUGUUAAUUCAAGGUGUUGAUAAGCCUUGGAACAUUCAAACUUCCAAAAGCAUACAACGGAGUUUGGAACAGAUCAAGAAAUGACCUUUUUGUACGCCUAAGAAUCUGCAACUUUGUAACAAUUAAUACAAGAGCAUGCAAAGAAGCAUCUCAGGCUCGUGUUGAUUAUAUAUAUCAAAUCCUCAAGGGUACUGACAAUCUAGCAUAGCUGCAAGCUAGAUAUAAACAACUGCUCUUCUAAUCAAGUUGAUCUAAUCCAAGGCUUUAGAACACAAUUUCUAAGAGCAGUGACUGUAGCUUCAAUUUCACGAGUAGAUUCUAAUUUAUGAAUGAUUUUGUGUAGUUUAUUUAUCACAAUGAUUUUGACUUUGUUCUUGCCCUUGCCACCACAUCGCCUUCAUUGCCUGAACUAACUUGAUGAUUCCCUGAUGAUUCCCUUUCAUAAGGUAUUCGACAAGAUCGACAUGAUUCGUUUCGUGUGACCGACUUAGAUGAUUCCCUCUCAUAAUAUGUAGGCAUCUUCUUCCAACUUCUUGGGUUUUUUUGGAUUCUAUUUUCUUUUCAAUUGUUUUCAAUGUUUCUCAUAUGGGUUUUCGAUUUCAACUCGUAGCUAUUCUUCUUUCAAUUCUAAUUUCUUUCCUUUUAUUAUUAGGAUUUAUUGUUUUAGGUUAAUCUUUUGGUUGUUUAUUAUAUAGUGAGAAAUUAGUAGCUUCAGUUUCACGAGUGGAUUCUAAUUUAUUGAUGAUUUUAUGCUGUUUAUUUAACACAAUGAUUUUGUCUUUGUUGUUGUUGGUGAUUUCUUUUGAAUGAUGAGAACUGGUUUU
Trifolium pratense (red clover) is the source of this 4099-nucleotide long non-coding RNA. RefSeq lists it as uncharacterized. The transcript is spliced from 18 exons. NCBI's taxonomy places the organism in Eukaryota, Viridiplantae, Streptophyta, Magnoliopsida, Fabales, Fabaceae. The record is from RefSeq and is a predicted model, not a curated record.